This 99-nucleotide microRNA precursor is filed under the name Marmota monax (woodchuck). The record is from RNAcentral. Lineage: Eukaryota; Metazoa; Chordata; Mammalia; Rodentia; Sciuridae.
AUUAGAAUUACUGGGUCACAUGGUAAGUUCAUGCUUAACAUUUUGAGCAACCGUCAAAUUGUUUUCCAAAGCAGCUGCAUCAUUUCUCAUUCCAGCAAU